UCUCUGUAAGGGCAAACCGUCGGCGACGGCGGGGCGCAAAGCCAAAGGGUCUCAGCACACGCGAGACGGCCAGGCUGCCAGA
This is a non-coding RNA of Gemmatimonadetes bacterium 13_1_40CM_4_69_8, 82 nucleotides long. NCBI's taxonomy places the organism in Bacteria, Pseudomonadati, Gemmatimonadota. The record is from Rfam.